UGAGGAAUAUUGGUCAAUGGGCGCGAGCCUGAACCAGCCAAGUCGCGUGAGGGAGGACGGCCCUACGGGUUGUAAACCUCUUUUGCCGGGGAGCAACGGGCGCCACGUGUGGCGUCACUGAGAGUACCCGGAGAAAAAGCAUCGGCUAACUCCGUGCCAGCAGCCGCGGUAAUACGGAGGAUGCGAGCGUUAUCCGGAUUUAUUGGGUUUAAAGGGUGCGUAGGCGGAUCGUUAAGUCAGUGGUCAAAUUGAGGGGCUCAACCCCUUCCCGCCAUUGAAACUGGCGUUCUUGAGUGGAAGAGA
This 303-nucleotide ribosomal RNA is filed under the name uncultured bacterium. RNAcentral describes it as "bacterial SSU rRNA". It matches the Rfam family "Bacterial small subunit ribosomal RNA", at positions 355 to 655 of the family's 1533-position model. The record is from RNAcentral.